Long non-coding RNA from Etheostoma cragini (Arkansas darter), 148 nucleotides. RefSeq lists it as uncharacterized. The record is from RefSeq and is a predicted model, not a curated record. The transcript is spliced from 4 exons. NCBI's taxonomy places the organism in Eukaryota, Metazoa, Chordata, Actinopteri, Perciformes, Percidae.
AUGUCACCUAAGUGGUGUAAAAACAACAAUAAUAAUUUAGGAAAUGGAUGGGGAUUUAUAAAAACUCAGCACUUGCAUCCACACACGUGUGUAUUACACUGUGUGUGCUAUAAUAGUAGCAGUAUGACCUGUUCUGUUAGGUCUGAUC